RNAcentral lists this ribosomal RNA (506 nucleotides) under uncultured bacterium. RNAcentral describes it as "partial 16S ribosomal RNA". It matches the Rfam family "Bacterial small subunit ribosomal RNA", at positions 30 to 523 of the family's 1533-position model. The record is from RNAcentral.
AUUGAACGCUAACGGCGUGCUUAACACAUGCAAGUCGAGCGGCAGCACAGUAGUAGCAAUACUAUGGGUGGCGAGCGGCGGACGGGUGAGUAAUACAUAGGAAUCUGCCUUAUAGUGGGGGAUAACCCGGGGAAACUCGAGCUAAUACCGCAUAAUCUCUACGGAGAAAAGUAUGGGACCUUCGGGCCAUAUGCUGAAAGAUGAACCUAUGUUGGAUUAGCUAGUUGGUAGGGUAAAGGCCUACCAAGGCAACGAUCCAUAGCUGGUCUGAGAGGAUGAUCAGCCACACUGGGACUGAGACACGGCCCAGACUCCUACGGGAGGCAGCAGUGGGGAAUAUUGGACAAUGGGCGCAAGCCUGAUCCAGCAACGCCGUGUGUGUGAAGAAGGCCUUAGGGUUGUAAAGCACUUUUAGUGGGGAAGAAAAGUUCAUGGCUAAUAUCCAUGAAUGCUGACGUUACCUACAGAAAAAGCACUGGCUAACUCUGUGCCAGCCGCCGCAGUAA